AUGGACAUGUCGGCGAUCGCCGCCCGCCUCGGCCUCUCCGGGUCCCGCCCCGUCGUGCGCAAGGCCGCCGAGCUCCGCCGCCUCUGCGACAUCAACUUCGACUCCUCCGUCCUCGGCAUCGGGGAGGUGUGCAAGGCCAUCAUCUGCCUCGAGAUCGCCGCGACCAAGUUUCAGGUGAUAUUUGAUCGGUCAGAGGCGGUGCGGAUGAGCGGGAUGUCGGAGAAGGCAUACAUCAGAUCAUUCAACGCGCUGCAGAAUGGGCUUGGCGUCAAGACGACAUUGGAUGUGCGUGAAUUGGGCAUCCAGUUUGGCUGUGUCAGGUUGAUACCUUUUGUGCAGAAGGGAUUGGCGCUGUACAAAGAACGUUUCCUGGCUGCAUUGCCUCCUUCUCGACGCUCAAGCACGGACUUUGGUCGGCCAGUGUUUACUGCAGCAGCAUUCUAUUUAUGUGCAAAGAGGCAUAAGCUCAAAGUUGACAAACUGAAGCUAAUUGACCUGUGUGGUACAUCUAGCUCUGAAUUUACAACGGUUUCGACAUCUAUGGGAGACCUUUGUUUUGAUGUUUUUGGGAUAGCCAAGGAGAAGAAGGAUCCAACCUCUAUCAAAGGGAAUAGAGAACUGCUGGAUGUUUUGCCUAGCAAAAGGAAACAUGAGGAUGACAGCGACCAUUCUGAUGAAUCAUCCGGGGAUGACAAUGAUGACGAGCUAGAUCUACCAACUCACAAAAGGCACAAGAAGAUGGAAAAACAAGCAUACAAUCAGUGGAAGUCUUCAGUUAUCUCCACCAACAAGCAAACCAAACCAGACCCUACGAAGCCCAGGAAGCAAGCCCAGCUGAACUUCAAGAAGAAACUGCCCUUGGAAGUACCCCCACCGGCUAACUAA
Molecule: ribosomal RNA, 885 nt
Filed under: Triticum aestivum (bread wheat)
Lineage: Eukaryota; Viridiplantae; Streptophyta; Magnoliopsida; Poales; Poaceae
Description: partial small subunit ribosomal RNA
Source: RNAcentral